This 75-nucleotide transfer RNA is filed under the name Vitis vinifera (wine grape). It matches the Rfam family "tRNA". From Rfam's summary of the family: Transfer RNA (tRNA) molecules are approximately 80 nucleotides in length. Their secondary structure includes four short double-helical elements and three loops (D, anti-codon, and T loops). Further hydrogen bonds mediate the characteristic L-shaped molecular structure. tRNAs have two regions of fundamental functional importance: the anti-codon, which is responsible for specific mRNA codon recognition, and the 3' end, to which the tRNAs corresponding amino acid is attached (by aminoacyl-tRNA synthetases). tRNAs cope with the degeneracy of the genetic code in two manners: having more than one tRNA (with a specific anti-codon) for a particular amino acid; and 'wobble' base-pairing, i.e. permitting non-standard base-pairing at the 3rd anti-codon position. Lineage: Eukaryota; Viridiplantae; Streptophyta; Magnoliopsida; Vitales; Vitaceae. The record is from Rfam by way of RNAcentral.
GAUCUCGUAGCUCAGUUGGUUGAGUGCAAGGCUCUCAAUCUUGGGCUCGCGUGGGUUCAAGCCCCACAGUGGCCC